CAGUUGAAAUCUCCACUAAUCAACCAAGCAUCUUGACUGGGAAUAUAGAUUGAUCUAAGGUCACUCCACAAUUGGCUCCUGAGAAGUGCAGUAUUAUAGGCAUAUACAACACUUAGUUGGAUUUUGGCCUGGCUUCUUGUAUCUUCUAAAAGGCAAUGAAUAAGCUGAUCAGUAAUAGAGGAUAUUUGGAUCUGGAUGUGUGGUCUCCAAAGCAACCAAAUUCUCCCAUUAGCAGCCUUUGAAUAAUUUCACUGAACCUUCCAAUCUUUAGCUACCUUAUCAAUUAUCUUCUUGGCUUUAUGCUCCUUAACUCUAGUUUCUACUACUCCCAUGACAUCCACCUUAUUAACAGCUAGGAAGUUUUUCAACUCCUUCUAUUUAUGAGGCUGGUUAAGCCCCCUAAUGUUCCAUGUGACUAUAAUCAUGGGGAAAUAGGGGUUAAUCUGUGAGAGGGUCCCAGAUCAAUCUGCUGAACCCUAUUACCAUUCACAAUCAUAGUAGCCUUCCCUUGAUUGUAAUUCUCAACCAAUUGUUCACUGUUACCAUUGGUUGCAUUGACUGCAAUAACUGCAAAUUCAGGUCUCACUUGGCUCACAGGAAUAGUUUGUGCA
Molecule: long non-coding RNA, 611 nt
Filed under: Nicotiana benthamiana
Lineage: Eukaryota; Viridiplantae; Streptophyta; Magnoliopsida; Solanales; Solanaceae
Description: long non-coding RNA (NBEN_LNC012194)
Source: RNAcentral